GAUGAACGCUGGCGGCGUGCCUAAUACAUGCAAGUCGAGCGGACGGACGAGAAGCUUGCUUCUCUGAUGUUAGCGGCGGACGGGUGAGUAACACGUGGAUACCCUACCUAUAAGACUGGGAUAACUUCGGGAAACCGUAGCUAAUACCGGAUAAUAUUUUGAACCGCAUGGUUCAAAGGUGAAAGACGGUCUUGCUGUCACUUAUAGAUGGAUCCGCGCUGCAUUAGCUAGUUGGUAAGGUAACGGCUUACCAAGGCAACGAUGCAUAGCCGACCUGAGAGGGUGAUCGGCCACACUGGAACUGAGACACGGUCCAGACUCCUACGGGAGGCAGCAGUAGGGAAUCUUCCGCAAUGGGCGAAAGCCUGACGGAGCAACGCCGCGUGAGAGAUGAAGGUCUUCGGAUCGUAAAACUCUGUUAUUAGGGAAGAACAUAUGUGUAAGUAACUGUGCACAUCUUGACGGUACCUAAUCAGAAAGCCACGGCUAACUACGUG
RNAcentral lists this ribosomal RNA (497 nucleotides) under uncultured bacterium. RNAcentral's name for it is "partial 16S ribosomal RNA". It matches the Rfam family "Bacterial small subunit ribosomal RNA", at positions 28 to 507 of the family's 1533-position model. The record is from RNAcentral.